Molecule: transfer RNA, 83 nt
Filed under: Candidatus Omnitrophota bacterium
Lineage: Bacteria; Pseudomonadati; Candidatus Omnitrophota
Description: Candidatus Omnitrophica bacterium (sediment metagenome) tRNA-Leu
Rfam family: tRNA
About the family: Transfer RNA (tRNA) molecules are approximately 80 nucleotides in length. Their secondary structure includes four short double-helical elements and three loops (D, anti-codon, and T loops).
Source: RNAcentral
GCUGGAGUGGCGGAAUGGCAUACGCGCCGGUCUCAAAAACCGGUGUCCUCACGGGCGUAAGGGUUCGACUCCCUUCUCCAGCA